RNAcentral lists this ribosomal RNA (555 nucleotides) under Euphausiidae sp. EU8. Its description in RNAcentral is "bacterial SSU rRNA". It matches the Rfam family "Eukaryotic small subunit ribosomal RNA", at positions 34 to 566 of the family's 1831-position model. Lineage: Eukaryota; Metazoa; Arthropoda; Malacostraca; Euphausiacea; Euphausiidae. The record is from RNAcentral.
GUCUCAAAGAUUAAGCCAUGCAUGUCUAAGUACAGGCCUAAGUAAGGCGAAACCGCGAAUGGCUCAUUAAAUCAGUUAUGGUUCAUUGGAUCUUACCCUUUCUUACUUGGAUAACUGUGGUAAUUCUAGAGCUAAUACAUGCCAACCAGUAGCUCCGACACACUCCCGUGUGGAAGAGCGCUUUUAUUAGAUCAAAACCAGUCCUCCCUCGGGAGGUCAAACCCCUUCGUGGUGACUCUGAAUAACUUUUAGCUGAGCGCACGGUCUCCGCGCCGGCGCCGCAUCUUUCAAGUGUCUGCCUUAUCAGCUUUCGAUUGUAGGUUAUGCGCCUACAAUGGCUAUAACGGGUAACGGGGAAUCAGGGUUCGAUUCCGGAGAGGGAGCCUGAGAAACGGCUACCACAUCUAAGGAAGGCAGCAGGCUCGAAAAUUACCCAAUCCCGACUCGGGGAGGUAGUGACAAGAAAUAACGAUACGGGGUCUUAAUAGGUCUCGCAAUUGGAAUGAGUACAAUUUAAAUCCUUUAACGAGGAUCAAUUGGAGGGCAAGUCUGGUG